This 497-nucleotide ribosomal RNA is filed under the name uncultured bacterium. Its description in RNAcentral is "partial 16S ribosomal RNA". It matches the Rfam family "Bacterial small subunit ribosomal RNA", at positions 28 to 507 of the family's 1533-position model. The record is from RNAcentral.
GAUGAACGCUGGCGGCGUGCCUAAUACAUGCAAGUCGAGCGAACGGACGAGAAGCUUGCUUCUCUGAUGUUAACGGCGGACGGGUGAGUAACACGUGGAUAACCUACCUAUAAGACUGGGAUAACUUCGGGAAACCGGAGCUAAUACCGGAUAAUAUUUUGAACCGCAUGGUUCAAAAGUGAAAGACGGUCUUGCUGUCACUUAUAGAUGGAUCCGCGCUGCAUUAGCUAGUUGGUAAGGUAACGGCUUACCAAGGCAACGAUGCAUAGCCGACCUGAGAGGGUGAUCGGCCACACUGGAACUGAGACACGGUCCAGACUCCUACGGGAGGCAGCAGUAGGGAAUCUUCCGCAAUGGGCGAAAGCCUGACGGAGCAACGCCGCGUGAGUGAUGAAGGUCUUCGGAUCGUAAAACUCUGUUACUAGGGAAGAACAUAUGUGUAAGUAACUGUGCACAUCUUGACGGUACCUAAUCAGAAAGCCACGGCUAACUACGUG